RNAcentral lists this ribosomal RNA (754 nucleotides) under uncultured Clostridia bacterium. RNAcentral describes it as "bacterial SSU rRNA". It matches the Rfam family "Bacterial small subunit ribosomal RNA", at positions 62 to 774 of the family's 1533-position model. Lineage: Bacteria; Bacillati; Bacillota; Clostridia. The record is from RNAcentral.
UCAGUCGUCGGACGUCAGACUUCAGGAAAAAAUAAAGCCUAAGAAUAAUUCCUGACGACCGAUGUCCGACGACUGGCGACUGAAUAGCGGCGGACGGGUGAGUAACACGUGGAUAACCUGCCCGUUAGACCGGGAUAACACCGGGAAACUGGUGCUAAUACCGGAUAAGCUCUUUAGAGCAAAAGCUUACAAAGAGGAAAGGGGGAACCCGCUAAAGGAUGGGUCCGCGUCCUAUUAGCUAGUUGGUAGGGUAACGGCCUACCAAGGCGACGAUGGGUAGCCGGCCUGAGAGGGUGACCGGCCACACUGGGACUGAGACACGGCCCAGACUCCUACGGGAGGCAGCAGUGGGGAAUAUUCCGCAAUGGGGGAAACCCUGACGGAGCAAUGCCGCGUGAGUGAAGAAGGCCUUUGGGUCGUAAAACUCUGUCUUGAGGGACGAAAAAAAUGACGGUACCUCAAAAGAAAGCCCCGGCUAACUACGUGCCAGCAGCCGCGGUAAAACGUAGGGGGCGAGCGUUGUCCGGAAUUACUGGGCGUAGAGGGCGUGCAGGCGGCCUGUGUAGUCAAGCGGUGAAAACCCGGGGCUUAACUUCGGGAUGGCCCUUGAAACCAACAGGCUUGAGGACAGGAGAGGGGAGUGGAAUUUCCGGUGUAGCGGUGAAAUGCGUAGAUACCGGAAGGAACACCAGUGGCGAAGGCGGCUCCCUGGACUGGUCCUGACGCUGAGGCGCGAAAGCGUGGGGAGCAAACA